CAGCAGCCGCGGGAAAACGUAGGGUGCAAGCGUUAAUCGGAAUUACUGGGCGUAAAGCGUGCGCAGGCGGUUUGUUAAGACAGAUGUGAAAUCCCCGGGCUCAACCUGGGAACUGCAUUUGUGACUGGCAAGCUAGAGUGUGGCAGAGGGGGGUGGAAUUCCGCGUGUAGCAGUGAAAUGCGUAGAUAUGCGGAGGAACACCGAUGGCGAAGGCAGCCCCCUGGGCCAACACUGACGCUCAUGCACGAAAGCGUGGGGAGCAAACAGGAUUAGAUACCCGUGUAGUCCCUGUCUCUUAUAC
Molecule: ribosomal RNA, 301 nt
Filed under: uncultured bacterium
Lineage: Bacteria
Description: partial 16S ribosomal RNA
Rfam family: Bacterial small subunit ribosomal RNA
Source: RNAcentral